CGGAUAUCUUGUGAAUAAAAAAUUGCAUCCUUAGAUAAGUAUUUUUAGUAUUCCCUUAGAUUUAAACUCCGUAUGAGGCGAACCCCACUGGGCUUUCUGAAACAGGCUUUUGCUAAAUCUUCCCUUGGUUUUCAAAAAGGAUAAGAACUAAAAGGACUGAUUCUCUGGUUGAUUUAUGUGUGAAGAACAUGAACACUUGUUUAAUUCUUCAUCUUUAACAUAACAGAUCCAAGGCUAGAAAAUUCUUAGUCUUU
This is a non-coding RNA of Pelobates cultripes (western spadefoot toad), 254 nucleotides long. The record is from the annotation of a GenBank genome assembly. NCBI's taxonomy places the organism in Eukaryota, Metazoa, Chordata, Amphibia, Anura, Pelobatidae.